RNAcentral lists this ribosomal RNA (272 nucleotides) under uncultured bacterium. RNAcentral's name for it is "partial small subunit ribosomal RNA". It matches the Rfam family "Bacterial small subunit ribosomal RNA", at positions 26 to 285 of the family's 1533-position model. The record is from RNAcentral.
AGAAUCAACGCUGGCGGCGUGCCUAACACAUGCAAGUCGAACGCGAAAGUGGAGCAAUCCAUGAGUAGAGUGGCAAACGGGUGAGUAACGCGUGGGUGACCUGCCUUCGAGUGGGGGAUAACGCUCCGAAAGGGACGCUAAUACCGCAUAACAUCCUGCCUUUUAAGAGGUGGAAAUCAAAGCCUGGGACCGCAAGGCCAGGCGCUUGAAGAGGGGCCCGCGUCUGAUUAGCUAGUUGGUGGGGUAAUGGCUCACCAAGGCUUCGAUCAGUA